CCCAUUUAACAAUUAUGACAUGUAACGAAUUCAUUAAGCAAAAUAUGAGCGGGUGAAGAUUAUGAGGAGUAUGAUGAAAGCAUGAUGCCAGAAAACCUACCGCAUGAUAUCAAACAACUUGAUAGUCAGAAUAUGGACGAAAUUGAAGUUAUCAAUCUAGAUGAUGAGGAAAUAGUAAGGAAAUGUGAGUUAAUAUAUAAUUUUAAGCACUGAUAUCAUCACACAUCG
This 228-nucleotide long non-coding RNA is filed under the name Capsicum annuum. RNAcentral's name for it is "long non-coding RNA (CANN_LNC022511)". The record is from RNAcentral. Lineage: Eukaryota; Viridiplantae; Streptophyta; Magnoliopsida; Solanales; Solanaceae.